GUCGCUUCGUGUAUGUGUGUGUGUAUCUAUGUGCGCAUCGAGUGCCAUUUGAGCCAAGCUUUUGACAGUGUGUGUGUGUGCUUGUAUGUGAGUCGAUACUGCUUUUCAAGCUCUUUUGUUAGCCGUCGUCGUCGUCAGCUCUUAUACGUUCGCACUUUGGUAAGAAGUCGACCAACUUUGGCCAUCUCUUGGUCUCAAUAAGAUCCAUGCUUUGCCAUACACACAAUUGAAACAGCUGAUUGUCUGCUCUCUUCUAAUCUCUCUUCACAGUGCUCUCUUUUUGGCUUCGUCUCUUUGACUGCUUGACGAUUUCGUCGUGCUCUUAGCAGCUGCUGAGGUGCUGACAAGAUAAAUGAGAUUACUUUACCUGACAAUUACGACAGCAAUUAGUCAUAAAGUGCGUCGAGUCGAUUAUUGUAAAGAUCAACUGAGAGUUUAGUGUAAUUAAAUUGUUGUUGUUUUUGUUUUGCUUUGCUUUUGUUGUUUGACAUUUUGUCAAGUACUCCGGCAUUUGUUUUGUUUAUAAAUAUCAACGAAAAAUAAAAAACAUAUCACUCAAUGAUCGCUGGAAUCAAAGCAUGCGCUUUAAAUGCCAACUGUUGAGUUCUUGUGAACGCUAUUGAACUCGUAAUGGUUAAAGAAUGCUAAAACUCAUCAAGUGUGUGUGUUUAGGCCUCCCCUGGAAUAUUAAUCGAUCCACGUUUCAAGUGAAAAUUUAUGGUCCCGCAAUUUCAGUGAAAAUCGCGUUGAACCAAUCGUAAUAAUGAUCGUAUCAGCAAGGAUUAAGCAAAAAAGUUACAAUUACCAGACUUUAAAUGCGUUUCAAAAGUGCUCCAGAUUUGUAGAUUAUCAUAGUAUAAAUGGCAAUAAACUUACCUAGAAUAAAAGAGAAAAAAAUAAUUUCAAGUUAUUAUAAAUAUUAUAUCAUAUUAUUUAAACAAUUGAUUGAUUUAUUCAAGCGUGUAAAACAUUUAACUCUAGUUCAAAAAUAAUAUUAGCCGGUUAAGAGUUGUAUUCCAUUUUGAUCUCAUCGCUAUGCCUAUCAGGUUGAGUGUCAUUGGAAUUCUGUUAAUGUUUGUAGCACUAAACCCUUGCUAUAAUGCUCACAAACUUUGUUUGUCAAAAUAAUGACGAAACGUGGUUUACUUUCCAUGAAUGUCGAUUGCGGGCGAUCAGUCGUAAUAAGACUAUUUUAAAUUUGAAUGGAACUUUUCAUCAAACCGUCACGGAGUUUCAUGUGAGAGGACAAAUGUUUUACAAAACCAAUGGUUACAAGCCUUGGCUUUAUAAUGUUCAAAUUGAAUGCUGUCGUUUUAUGAGGAAGACAUAUAAUCCUAUUGCCAUUAUUAUCUAUAGGUUUAUAAAAAACUAUUCAAAUAUGAACCAUAGUUGUCCCUAUAAGGGAGCGGUAAUUAUUAAAGGACUUUAUCUUAGAUUCGGCGCAUUACCAAAUGCAUUGCCAACUGGCGAUUAUAUGUUGGCAUUAACUUGGUCACUUGAUAACAAGACGAAAUUUACAACUAAUGCAUAUUUUAUGUUUGCUGAGGAUUUGUGAUAAGUUUUACUAUUCUUAUGGUAAUUCAUUUCUGAACCGAAAUAUAAACCAACUAAAUAUUCAACUUCAUUUUACUGUAUGAUCUAAAUCGUAAAUAUAUUU
This is a long non-coding RNA of Drosophila sulfurigaster albostrigata, 1657 nucleotides long. RefSeq lists it as uncharacterized. Lineage: Eukaryota; Metazoa; Arthropoda; Insecta; Diptera; Drosophilidae. The transcript is spliced from 3 exons. The record is from RefSeq and is a predicted model, not a curated record.